Molecule: non-coding RNA, 74 nt
Organism: Podarcis lilfordi (Lilford's wall lizard)
Lineage: Eukaryota; Metazoa; Chordata; Lepidosauria; Squamata; Lacertidae
Source: the annotation of a GenBank genome assembly
GGAUAGCUCAGUCGGGAGAGCAUGAGUCUCUUAAUCCCAGGGUUGUGGGUUCGAGCCCCACAUUGGGUGAAAUA